GACGAACGCUGGCGGCGUGCUUAACACAUGCAAGUCGAACGGAAAGGCCCUGCUUUUGUGGGGUGCUCGAGUGGCGAACGGGUGAGUAACACGUGAGUAACCUGCCCUUGACUUUGGGAUAACUUCAGGAAACUGGGGCUAAUACCGGAUAGGAGCUCCUGCUGCAUGGUGGGGGUUGGAAAGUUUCGGCGGUUGGGGAUGGACUCGCGGCUUAUCAGCUUGUUGGUGGGGUAGUGGCUUACCAAGGCUUUGACGGGUAGCCGGCCUGAGAGGGUGACCGGCCACAUCGGGACUGAGAGACGGCCCAGACUCCUACGGGAGGCAGCAGUGGGGAAUAUUGCACAAUGGGCGGAAGCCUGAUGCAGCAACGCCGCGUGCGGGAUGACGGCCUUCGGGUUGUAAACCGCUUUCGCCUGUGACGAAGCGUGAGUGACGGUAAUGAGUAAAGAAGCACCGGCUAACUACGUG
Molecule: ribosomal RNA, 468 nt
Filed under: uncultured bacterium
Lineage: Bacteria
Description: partial 16S ribosomal RNA
Rfam family: Bacterial small subunit ribosomal RNA
Source: RNAcentral